AUGGACGAAAGUCUGACGGAGCAACGCCGCGUGAGUGAUGAAGGCUUUCGGGUCGUAAAACUCUGUUGUUAGGGAAGAACAAGUGCUAGUUAAAUAAGCUGGCACCUUGACGGUACCUAACCAGAAAGCCACGGCUAACUACGUGCCAGCAGCCGCGGUAAUACGUAGGUGGCAAGCGUUAUCCGGAAUUAUUGGGCGUAAAGCGCGCGCAGGUGGUUUCUUAAGUCUGAUGUGAAAGCCCACGGCUCAACCGUGGAGGGUCAUUGGAAACUGGGAGACUUGAGUGCAGAAGAGGAAAGUGGAAUUCCAUGUGUAGCGGUGAAAUGCGUAGAGAUAUGGAGGAACACCAGUGGCGAAGGCGACUUUCUGGUCUGUAACUGACACUGAGGCGCGAAAGCGUGGGGAGCAAACAGGAUUAGAUACCCUGGUAGUCCACGCCGUAAACGAUGAGUGCUAAGUGUUAGAGGGUUUCCGCCCUUUAGUGCUGAAGUUAACGCAUUAAGCACUCCGCC
This 512-nucleotide ribosomal RNA is filed under the name uncultured bacterium. RNAcentral describes it as "bacterial SSU rRNA". It matches the Rfam family "Bacterial small subunit ribosomal RNA", at positions 371 to 873 of the family's 1533-position model. The record is from RNAcentral.